ACGAUUGACCAGCUUUGCUCACCAUUAGUGCCCCUGGGAUAGGCGUACUUUGUAAAGACUCCAUUAUAAUCAAUUGUUGCUCGAUAGUAGUGUGUAGCCGCACUAGGUGCAACGAUAUCUGACUCUUCCAUAGGAGUUGGACAAUCGUUCCAUCGGUCCGGAUCAAGUAGAUAUGAGAUGAUUCAUUGAAAACAGAUGAUUCAUUGAAAACAAGCUGUGAACCAGAACUAAUGAAAUAAGGAUUAUACUUGAACUCAGUUGGCCAGGCAAGCGCGCUGAGCUG
This 283-nucleotide unclassified non-coding RNA is filed under the name Hevea brasiliensis (rubber tree). The record is from RNAcentral. Lineage: Eukaryota; Viridiplantae; Streptophyta; Magnoliopsida; Malpighiales; Euphorbiaceae.